Molecule: transfer RNA, 108 nt
Filed under: Magnetococcales bacterium
Lineage: Bacteria; Pseudomonadati; Pseudomonadota; Magnetococcia; Magnetococcales
Description: tRNA-OTHER
Source: RNAcentral
UGCGAGGUAGCUCAAAAUCGCGGCAUAUCAAAACCGCGGCGGAGGCAUCCGUGGGGAGAGCAAAGCCUGGCAAGGCGAAAGAUGCCGGUUCGAUUCCGGCCCUCGCAC